CAGGGGAUUGCAGUGGCAAAGCUAGGCUAGGUCUUGGAGGCUGGUGUAAGGCGAUGUGGGUGAAGGCAGGAGGCUGAUGGAAAGACUGGGGGGAAGAAAAGCCGAAAUGGAUUCACGGUGCCUUGGAUGAAGGACGAGAGGGGAACUGCAAGCUCCUUCAACUGGUUCUGUCCGGUGAGAAGUGAUCAAGCUUGGGCUGACAAGAGGCUCAGGGAGCCCUCACGUUCUUUCGCUUUUUUACCUGCCAAUCAAACUGCUACAAGACAACACCCUGAUCUGGCAUGGACAUACACAGCCCAGGCAGACAGAAGGAAACGGAGCAUUAAUCCAACUGCAGUCACCCCAAAGUACAGGCCAUUUGGAUCCAGAAGAGAAACUGGUUCCUUCUACAAGCUCUCCCGUUCUCCCUGGGGCCCUUCACAGCCUCCUUGUCUACGUUGUGGCUGUGCUUUCCCUGAUCCAACUUAGAAAUAAUGUUUCAUUCAAGAUAAGGCUCGUGGCUUAGGAGAUUGUGACCUGGCUUGCAUCAUUCUAAGACUUCUAUCGUCUGUUUUCAAAACCCAAGGAGGACCUCCUUUUCUGUGUGAUAGUUCCUCAUGCUUUGCCAGCC
RNAcentral lists this long non-coding RNA (610 nucleotides) under Homo sapiens (human). Its description in RNAcentral is "non-protein coding SOX2-OT:39". The stretch from base 14 to 289 matches the Rfam family "SOX2 overlapping transcript exon 3". The record is from RNAcentral. Lineage: Eukaryota; Metazoa; Chordata; Mammalia; Primates; Hominidae.